Molecule: long non-coding RNA, 333 nt
Organism: Melanotaenia boesemani (Boeseman's rainbowfish)
Lineage: Eukaryota; Metazoa; Chordata; Actinopteri; Atheriniformes; Melanotaeniidae
Exons: 3
Source: RefSeq, a predicted model, not a curated record
CAAAUCAAUUGCGCAUGUGCAAAGUCUCCGCUAGCUUGUUUGCUGUUAUUUAAAAUCGAAAUUAUCAGAGUCAGAAAACUUUACUAAUCCCCGAAGGCGAUUUGAGUCAUCAUAGCAGCAACUUGUUCAAUGUGGUAUUUUUAAAGGGCUAACUUGUGGUGUCCCUGUUGCUGUGGCGGUGGGAGCAUCUGUUCACCCUGCAGGGAAGUCCAGGAACUCCUCGCCGAGGAGAUGUCGCUGGGGGAGGUGGACUCCAGCCCUCCUCUUUCUCCUCUUCCCCCGUCCCCUCCUCUUCUCUUUUUAUCUGCUCGUCUUCCUCCUCCUCAUUCCUCC